Molecule: ribosomal RNA, 481 nt
Filed under: uncultured bacterium
Lineage: Bacteria
Description: partial 16S ribosomal RNA
Rfam family: Bacterial small subunit ribosomal RNA
Source: RNAcentral
AUUGAACGCUGGCGGCAUGCCUUACACAUGCAAGUCGAACGGUAACGGGCCUUCGGGUGCCGACGAGUGGCGAACGGGUGAGUAAUACAUCGGAACGUGCCCGAUCGUGGGGGAUAACGAGGCGAAAGCUUUGCUAAUACCGCAUACGAUCUACGGAUGAAAGCAGGGGACCGCAAGGCCUUGCGCGGACGGAGCGGCCGAUGGCAGAUUAGGUAGUUGGUGGGAUAAAAGCUUACCAAGCCGACGAUCUGUAGCUGGUCUGAGAGGAUGAUCAGCCACACUGGGACUGAGACACGGCCCAGACUCCUACGGGAGGCAGCAGUGGGAAUUUUGGACAAUGGGCGCAAGCCUGAUCCAGCCAUGCCGCGUGCAGGAUGAAGGCCUUCGGGUUGUAAACUGCUUUUGUACGGAACGAAAAGCCUUCUUUUAAUACAGGAGGGUCAUGACGGUACCGUAAGAAUAAGCACCGGCUAACUACGUG